This 218-nucleotide ribosomal RNA is filed under the name uncultured bacterium. RNAcentral's name for it is "partial 16S ribosomal RNA". It matches the Rfam family "Bacterial small subunit ribosomal RNA", at positions 118 to 351 of the family's 1533-position model. The record is from RNAcentral.
UGGAUAUCUGCCUUUUGGUUCGGGAUAACCCUGGGAAACUAGGGCUAAUACCGAAUGGUUCCUACGGGAUAAAGAUUUAUCGCCAAAAGAUGGGUUCCGCGUCCGAUUAGCUAGUUGGUGAGGUAAUGGCUCACCAAGGCGACGAUCGGUAGCUGGUCUGAGAGGACGAUCAGCCACACUGGGACUGAGACACGGCCCAGACUACCUACGGGAGGCAG